GACGAACGCUGGCGGCGUGCCUAACACAUGCAAGUCGAGCGAAUGAAGUUCCUUCGGGAAUGGAUUUAGCGGAGGACGGGUGAGUAACACGUGGGCAACCUGCCUCAUAGAGGGGAAUAGCCUUCCGAAAGGGAGAUUAAUACCGCAUAAGAUUGUAGUACCGCAUGGUGUAGCAAUUAAAGGAGCAAUCCGCUAUGAGAUGGGCCCGCGGCGCAUUAGAUAGUUGGUGAGGUAACGGCACACCAAGGCGACGAUGCGUAGCCGACCUGAGAGGGUGAUCGGCCACACAGGGACUGAGAAGCGGCCCAGACUCCUACGGGAGGCAGCAGUGGGGAAUAUUGCAAAAUGGGGGAAACCCUGAUGCAGCAACGCCGCGUGAGUGAUGACGGCCUGCGGGUUGUAAAGCUCUGUCUUCAGGGACGAUAAUGACGGUACCUGAGGAGGAAGCCACGGCUAACUACGUGCCAGCCGCCGCAGUAA
RNAcentral lists this ribosomal RNA (480 nucleotides) under uncultured bacterium. Its description in RNAcentral is "partial 16S ribosomal RNA". It matches the Rfam family "Bacterial small subunit ribosomal RNA", at positions 28 to 523 of the family's 1533-position model. The record is from RNAcentral.